CAGUCGNNCGGCAGCACGGGAGCAAUCCUGGUGGCGAGUGGCGAACGGGUGAGUAAUAUAUCGGAACGUGCCCAGUCGUGGGGGAUAACGUAGCGAAAGCUACGCUAAUACCGCAUACGAUCUACGGAUGAAAGCGGGGGACUCGUAAGGGCCUCGCGCGAUUGGAGCGGCCGAUAUCAGAUUAGGUUGUUGGUGAGGUAAAAGCUCACCAAGCCUGCGAUCUGUAGCUGGUCUGAGAGGACGACCAGCCACACUGGAACUGAGACACGGUCCAGACUCCUACGGGAGGCAGCAGUGGGGAAUUUUGGACAAUGGACGCAAGUCUGAUCCAGCAAUGCCGCGUGCAGGACGAAGGCCUUCGGGUUGUAAACUGCUUUUGUACGGAACGAAACGGUCUGCUUUAAUACAGUGGGCUAAUGACGGUACCGUAAGAAUAAGCACCGGCUAACUACGUGCCAGCAGCCGCGGUAAUACGUAGGGUGCGAGCGUUAAUCGGAAUUACUGGGCGUAAAGCGUGCGCAGGCGGUUAUAUAAGACAGAUGUGAAAUCCCCGGGCUCAACCUGGGACCUGCAUUUGUGACUGUAUAGCUAGAGUACGGUAGAGGGGGAUGGAAUUCCGCGUGUAGCAGUGAAAUGCGUAGAUAUGCGGAGGAACACCGAUGGCGAAGGCAAUCCCCUGGACCUGUACUGACGCUCAUGCACGAAAGCGUGGGGAGCAAACAGGAUUAGAUACCCUGGUAGUCCACGCCCUAAACGAUGUCAACUGGUUGUUGGGUCUUCACUGACUCAGUAACGAAGCUAACGCGUGAAGUUGACCGCCUGGGGAGUACGGCCGCANGGUUGAAACUCAAAGGAAUUGACGGGGANCCGCACAAGCGGUGGAUGAUGUGGUUUNNNUCGAUGCANCGCGAAAAACCUUACCCACCUUUGACNU
This 934-nucleotide ribosomal RNA is filed under the name uncultured bacterium. Its description in RNAcentral is "bacterial SSU rRNA". It matches the Rfam family "Bacterial small subunit ribosomal RNA", at positions 59 to 987 of the family's 1533-position model. The record is from RNAcentral.